UGACGGUACCUCUUGAAUAAGCUCCGGCUAACUACGUGCCAGCAGCCGCGGUAAUACGGAGGGUGCAAGCGUUGUCCGGAUUUACUGGGUGUAAAGGGCGUGUAGGCGGAGCUGCAAGUCAGAUGUGAAAUCCCGGGGCUCAACCCCGGAACUGCAUUUGAAACUGUAGCCCUUGAGUAUCGGAGAGGCAAGCGGAAUUCCUAGUGUAGCGGUGAAAUGCGUAGAUAUUAGGAGGAACACCAGUGGCGAAGGCGGCUUGCUGGACGACAACUGACGCUGAGGCGCGAAAGCGUGGGGAGCAAACAGGAUUAGAUACCCUG
RNAcentral lists this ribosomal RNA (320 nucleotides) under uncultured bacterium. RNAcentral's name for it is "bacterial SSU rRNA". It matches the Rfam family "Bacterial small subunit ribosomal RNA", at positions 470 to 789 of the family's 1533-position model. The record is from RNAcentral.